GUGAGGAAUAUUGCGCAAUGGACGAAAGUCUGACGCAGCCAUGCCGCGUGAAGGAUUGACGGCCCUAUGGGUUGUAAACUUCUUUUGUAUAGGAAUAAACCCUCGUUCGUGAACGAGGCUGAAGGUACUAUAAGAAUAAGCACCGGCUAACUCCGUGCCAGCAGCCGCGGUAAUACGGAGGGUGCAAGCGUUAUCCGGAUUUAUUGGGUUUAAAGGGUCCGUAGGCGGAUCGUUAAGUCAGUGGUGAAAUCCUACCGCUCAACGGUAGAACUGCCAUUGAUACUGGCGAUCUUGAGUAUGUAUGAAGUUGGCGGAAUGUGUGGUGUAGCGGUGAAAUGCUUAGAUAUCACACAGAACACCGAUUGCGAAGGCAGCUGACUAAUACACAACUGACGAUGAGGGACGAAAGUGUGGGGAUCAAACAGGAUUAGAAACCCUAGUAGUCC
This 446-nucleotide ribosomal RNA is filed under the name uncultured bacterium. RNAcentral's name for it is "bacterial SSU rRNA". It matches the Rfam family "Bacterial small subunit ribosomal RNA", at positions 354 to 796 of the family's 1533-position model. The record is from RNAcentral.